GUCAGAAACAAUACACACUAAAAAAAUCCUAGUAUUUAUUUAAAAUAAUUUCUUUAGAUAUGUCAGUUAUUCGUUAGUACAAGUACCAGCUACGAGGCUUUGUUAAAACAGGAUUAAAAUAGUGUUUUUUUAUUCGUACUGCAAAAAAAUAGGGUAGCAAUUUUAUUACGUAUUGUAUCGGUUUUAGGUUUUUUAGGAACUUUUAAACGAUAGGUACCUGGAAUCUUUUCACGGGUCUUAAAAGCAUAUCUUUUUCAAAUGAACUAAUUAAGUAAUGACGGUAGCGACGGAAAGUGUUAAUGGCGAAAAAUGUAUUUCCUUUAACAUCAUUAAGUUAUGAGCCAUUUAGAUUUGUAUAAAUGGGUGGGAAUAUUAAAAUUAAAAUCACAACGGCUUCGACUACUGCCUUGCUCGGAACUAGUGAAAUAGUAUUGAUCAAAAUGUCGAUAAUAGUUCAGUGUCUUUCCAGAAUUGUGUAUAAUAUUUUGAGAAAAACAAUAGCCGCUCGUGAGCAAAUGAAGAUAAAGAACAAGAGAAUAAAAACGUAUAAUGAAAGAGACGACAAUGUUCGCCGAUGGCUGUGCGACUCUGAGACGGGAAUGUCAGAACUGAAAGCGAGGGAAGAGAAGUGGACUGUACCGGUUGCGCCAGUACUGCAAAGUGGAAUUACGAUGGGACUGAAUUGCGUAAAAUUCGACAGAAACUUUAAAGUUGACAAUAUUCUGUUGGCUAAUUACGUGAUGCCACCGUUUAGCGUUUCUCCGUUAGCACCGAUGAGUUGUUGAAAGCGUAAAACUGAAUCCAUUCUUGGCAGACAAGAACAAUGUUUAGUUUAUAUACGUAUUUCUAAGGAAUCUCUUUACCUGAGAAACGUGUAAUUUAAUUGAAAAGGAAUGUAAAUAAAAUGUAAUCAGUAUUUUACCUUAAAAUUUACAAAUUCUGAGACACUCGUCGGAACCAUCUUCUACGGUAUCAUGUUCUAUUUAAAUCAUAUUUUAUUCCUUGAAAAAUUGUAAUUGUUAUAAAAAUAUUGUCAAUUAAUAAUAAUAAAAAAAUGCUAUGCAGCUUUUUUUGUAAUUCGACGCAUGUUUUCAAUAGAAAUUCUAGAUGAUACGGACAAAGGCUUAGGGGAAAUUUGUAAUAUUUUUAAUUUAAAUAAAAUAAUCUGUUUUGCA
Molecule: long non-coding RNA, 1175 nt
Organism: Bombyx mori (domestic silkworm)
Lineage: Eukaryota; Metazoa; Arthropoda; Insecta; Lepidoptera; Bombycidae
Exons: 2
Source: RefSeq, a predicted model, not a curated record